This 73-nucleotide transfer RNA is filed under the name Camelus bactrianus (Bactrian camel). It matches the Rfam family "tRNA". From Rfam's summary of the family: Transfer RNA (tRNA) molecules are approximately 80 nucleotides in length. Their secondary structure includes four short double-helical elements and three loops (D, anti-codon, and T loops). Further hydrogen bonds mediate the characteristic L-shaped molecular structure. tRNAs have two regions of fundamental functional importance: the anti-codon, which is responsible for specific mRNA codon recognition, and the 3' end, to which the tRNAs corresponding amino acid is attached (by aminoacyl-tRNA synthetases). tRNAs cope with the degeneracy of the genetic code in two manners: having more than one tRNA (with a specific anti-codon) for a particular amino acid; and 'wobble' base-pairing, i.e. permitting non-standard base-pairing at the 3rd anti-codon position. Lineage: Eukaryota; Metazoa; Chordata; Mammalia; Artiodactyla; Camelidae. The record is from Rfam by way of RNAcentral. RNAcentral also lists the same sequence under 2 other names.
GAGGGUAUAGCUCAAGUGGUAGAGCGCAUGCUUAGCAUGCAUGAGGUCCUGGGUUCAAUCCCCAGUACCUACU